GGGGAGCAUCUGGGAGUUAUGAUGUUACCUGAUAUAAUCUUCCUAAAUUGAACCUUGUAUUGCAACACCUUGUAGUGCCUGAGUAAGUUCUGCAAGUCAACAAUGAGGUACAUAAAA
RNAcentral lists this small nucleolar RNA (117 nucleotides) under Erythranthe guttata (spotted monkey flower). RNAcentral describes it as "Mimulus guttatus (spotted monkey flower) Small nucleolar RNA snoR104". It matches the Rfam family "Small nucleolar RNA snoR104". Lineage: Eukaryota; Viridiplantae; Streptophyta; Magnoliopsida; Lamiales; Phrymaceae. The record is from Rfam by way of RNAcentral.